This 449-nucleotide ribosomal RNA is filed under the name uncultured bacterium. RNAcentral describes it as "partial 16S ribosomal RNA". It matches the Rfam family "Bacterial small subunit ribosomal RNA", at positions 29 to 523 of the family's 1533-position model. The record is from RNAcentral.
AACGAACGCUGGCGGCAUGCCUAACACAUGCAAGUCGAACGAAGGCUUCGGCCUUAGUGGCGCACGGGUGCGUAACGCGUGGGAAUCUGCCCCUCGGUUCGGAAUAACAGUUAGAAAUGACUGCUAAUACCGGAUGAUGACUUCGGUCAAAAGAUUUAUCGCCGUGGGAUGAGCCCGCGUAAGAUUUAGUAGUUGGUGGGGUAAAGGCCUACCAAGCCGACGAUCUUUAGCUGGUCUGAGAGGAUGAUCAGCCACACUGGGACUGCGAAACGGCGCAGACUCCUGCCUGAGUUCGCAGUGAUGGAUAUUGGAGGAUGGGUGAGAGACUUUUCCGGAGGUCCUGAGUGAGUGAUGAAUGCGUUACCGGUGUAAAGAUCUUUUACUAGGGGUUAUGCUAAGAGUACCUGGAGAAUCAGCGAGGGCGCUCACCGAGGCAGCAACUGUAGUAA